GACGAACGCUGGCGGUGUGCUUAACACAUGCAAGUCGAACGGUAAGGCCCUUUCGGGGGUACACGAGUGGCGAACGGGUGCGUAACACGUGAGUAACCUGCCCUCAUCUCUGGGAUAACAGUCGGAAACGGUUGCUAAUACUGGAUAUGAGCUUGCAAGGCAUCUUGUGGGUUGGAAAGAUUUUUUUGGUUGGGGAUGGACUCGCGGCCUAUCAGCUUGUUGGUGAGGUAGUGGCUCACCAAGGCUUCGACGGGUAGCCGGCCUGAGAGGGCGACCGGCCACAUUGGGACUGAGAUACGGCCCAAACUCCUACGGGAGGCAGCAGUGGGGAAUAUUGCACAAUGGACGGAAGUCUGAUGCAGCAACGCCGCGUGCGGGAGGACGGCCUUCGGGUUGUAAACCGCUUUCAAUUGUGACGAAGCUUUUUGUGACGGUAGCAGUAGAAGAAGCACCGGCUAACUACGUG
RNAcentral lists this ribosomal RNA (466 nucleotides) under uncultured bacterium. Its description in RNAcentral is "partial 16S ribosomal RNA". It matches the Rfam family "Bacterial small subunit ribosomal RNA", at positions 28 to 507 of the family's 1533-position model. The record is from RNAcentral.